UUUGGAUGGGGGAAAGAGGACCAGAGGACUGCGUGUCCCCGUGUCCAUCCAAUUAAGACAUACGUGAAAUUCACUGAGAAUGUGCCAAACAUAUAACAAUGCUUUGACAAUUUUCACUUACAACCACGAAUUUUCGACUUGUUGCUCAUCUGUUAAGAUUCUUUGUUAAAUCCAAGUUUUUAUUUAUUGUUAAAUCUAAGUUUUCAAAUUUCAGCCAUAAAACACUUAAUUUCUAGCAACCCCGUUACCUUAUUGCCAGCUUUUGAUGGUAAAGGUUAUCAUUAACAGAGAAACAACCCCACCGUAAUCUAGGACACUUGUCAAACUUGAACUAUUGCAAUGUUCCCUAAGCGUUUUCGGGACCCCAAAACAGGUUUUCAUCUGCUUAGUUCAAUGAAUGCCAAGAAAUACCUGAAGAAUAUUGGGUUGGAAAGAGAAGACUACUACUUUUUUAAACGAGUUGGGAAGGCUUACUUUGCACCUAUGCAGUACUUGGGGCUCUGUGGCUCUACAAUAACAAUUCAUCACUGGGGUGGGGGAAACUGAAGCCACAACUGAAGGAGCAUGAAGAAGCAUUGAAGGAGUUCAUUGCCAAGGGAAAGAUGAUCGGAACAACUAAUAGUCCAAAAGGGAAGGCUGAGAGUGAUAAGGAGAAUUUUGAUGAGGAAGCUCAGAAGCUGUGGUUGAGGAUGAAGAAUGAGCUCAAAACUGAACUUAUGGAGAAUGGUUUUGAUGUUGAAUAAUUGUACAAUGAGUGAAUGCCAGUGACAUUCUGAUGAUACAUGAACUGAUUCUAUGGCUGUAUUGUAGUACACGUUAGGAAACUUGUGCAUCAUGGUGAAUAAGUAGCAUUUCGCUGUGUUAAGUGUUUGAUUAAACAUUGAUGAUAAAAGGAAUAAUCAGUCUGCUGUUCUACAAAUUCAAGAAAUCUUGUCAUAAA
This 940-nucleotide long non-coding RNA is filed under the name Glycine max (soybean). RNAcentral describes it as "uncharacterized LOC100816772 (LOC100816772)". Lineage: Eukaryota; Viridiplantae; Streptophyta; Magnoliopsida; Fabales; Fabaceae. The record is from RNAcentral.